This 307-nucleotide ribosomal RNA is filed under the name uncultured Enterobacteriaceae bacterium. RNAcentral's name for it is "bacterial SSU rRNA". It matches the Rfam family "Bacterial small subunit ribosomal RNA", at positions 355 to 655 of the family's 1533-position model. The record is from RNAcentral. Lineage: Bacteria; Pseudomonadati; Pseudomonadota; Gammaproteobacteria; Enterobacterales; Enterobacteriaceae.
UGGGAAGUAUUGCACAAUGGGCGCAAGCCUGAUGCAGCCAUGCCGCGUGUAUGAAGAAGGCCUUCGGGUUGUAAAGUACUUUCAGCGGGAGGAAGGCGAUAAGGUUAAUAACCUUGUCGAUUGACGUUACCCGCAGAAGAAGCACCGGCUAACUCCGUGCCAGCAGCCGCGGUAAUACGGAGGGUGCAAGCGUUAAUCGGAAUUACUGGGCGUAAAGCGCACGCAGGCGGUCUGUCAAGUCGGAUGUGAAAUCCCCGGGCUCAACCUGGGAACUGCAUUCGAAACUGGCAGGCUGGAGUCUUGUAGA